AGUCGCCGCGGUAAUACCAGCACCUCGAGUGGUCAGGAGGUUUAUUGGGCCUAAAGCAUCCGUAGCCGGUUGCAUAAGUUUUCGGUUAAAUCUAUGCGCUUAACGUAUAGGCCGCCGAAAAUACUGUGCAGCUAGGGAGUGGGAGAGGUACACGGUACUCGAUAGGAAGGGGUAAAAUCCUUUGAUCUAUUGAUGACCACCUGUGGCGAAGGCGGUGUACCAGAACACGUUCGACGGUGAGGGAUGAAAGCGUGGGGAGCAAACAGGAUUAGAUACCCCGGUAGUCCCUGUCUCUUAUACA
RNAcentral lists this ribosomal RNA (301 nucleotides) under uncultured bacterium. RNAcentral describes it as "partial 16S ribosomal RNA". It matches the Rfam family "Archaeal small subunit ribosomal RNA", at positions 460 to 761 of the family's 1478-position model. The record is from RNAcentral.